This 466-nucleotide ribosomal RNA is filed under the name uncultured delta proteobacterium. RNAcentral describes it as "bacterial SSU rRNA". It matches the Rfam family "Bacterial small subunit ribosomal RNA", at positions 338 to 795 of the family's 1533-position model. Lineage: Bacteria; Deltaproteobacteria. The record is from RNAcentral.
CCUACGGGGGGCAGCAGUGGGGAAUAUUGCACAAUGGGCGCAAGCCUGAUGCAGCAACGCCGCGUGAGUGAAGAAGGCCCUUGGGUUGUAAAGCUCUUUAGGUUGGGAAGAGGGUUGAUUUACCUAACACGUAGAUUGACUGACGGUACCAGCAGAAUAAGCACCGGCUAACUCCGUGCCAGCAGCCGCGGUAAUACGGGGGGUGCAAGCGUUGUUCGGAAUGACUGGGCGUAAAGCGCACGUAGACGGGUAUGUAAGUCGGAUGUGAAAUCCCCGAGCUUAACUUGGGAACUGCAUCCGAAACUGCGUAUCUUGAAUGCUUCAAGGGUUGGUGGAAUUCCAGGUGUAGGAGUGAAAUCCGUAGAGAUCUGGAGGAACAUCGGAGGCGAAGGCGGCCAACUGGGGAUGCAUUGACGUUGAGGUGCGAAAGCGUGGGGAGCAAACAGGAUUAGAUACCCCUGUAGUC